RNAcentral lists this ribosomal RNA (796 nucleotides) under uncultured archaeon. Its description in RNAcentral is "bacterial SSU rRNA". It matches the Rfam family "Archaeal small subunit ribosomal RNA", at positions 85 to 879 of the family's 1478-position model. The record is from RNAcentral.
ACGGCUCAGUAACACGUGGAUAACCUGCCCUUGGGUCCGGCAUAACCCCGGGAAACUGGGGAUAAUUCCGGAUAACGCACAUAUGCUGGAAUGCUUUAUGCGUAAAAUGGAUUCGUCUGCCCAAGGAUGGGUCUGCGGCCUAUCAGGUAGUAGUGGGUGUAAUGUACCUACUAGCCAACAACGGGUACGGGUUGUGAGAGCAAGAGCCCGGAGAUGGAUUCUGAGACAUGAAUCCAGGCCCUACGGGGCGCAGCAGGCGCGAAAACUUUACAAUGCGGGAAACCGUGAUAAGGGGACACCGAGUGCCAGCAUCAUAUGCUGGCUGUCCGGGUGUGUAAAAUACACAUGUCAGCAAGGGCCGGGCAAGACCGGUGCCAGCCGCCGCGGUAACACCGGCGGCCCGAGUGGUGAUCGUGAUUAUUGGGUCUAAAGGGUCCGUAGCCGGUUUGGUCAGUCCUCCGGGAAAUCUGACGGCUUAACCGUUAGGCUUUCGGGGGAUACUGCCAGGCUUGGAACCGGGAGAGGUAAGAGGUACUACAGGGGUAGGAGUGAAAUCUUGUAAUCCCUGUGGGACCACCUGUGGCGAAGGCGUCUUACCAGAACGGGUUCGACGGUGAGGGACGAAAGCUGGGGGCACGAACCGGAUUAGAUACCCGGGUAGUCCCAGCCGUAAACGAUGCUCGCUAGGUGUCAGGCAUGGCGCGACCGUGUCUGGUGCCGCAGGGAAGCCGUGAAGCGAGCCACCUGGGAAGUACGGCCGCAAGGCUGAAACUUAAAGGAAUUGGCGGGGGAGCAC